Long non-coding RNA from Ictalurus punctatus (channel catfish), 568 nucleotides. The record is from Ensembl. Lineage: Eukaryota; Metazoa; Chordata; Actinopteri; Siluriformes; Ictaluridae.
GCUGGAUGGAACAGAACAAAAAGAGGAAAGCAGGAGCCAGCAAAGUGCUGAAAAUGAAAGUGAGGAGGGGGAAGAAAUGGACGACAAACUACUAAAAACAAUAAAAAGGAGGCGAUCAAUAAAGGUUUUGCCAAGUUUGACAACUGCUAGGAAAAGAGUGAUUAAAAAAGACGUGUUGAAGCAUGGAAACAGAUAUGAGUGUCUGAAGGACUUGGAGGGGAUAGACUGAAACGAUGGAAACCUCUUCACGGCUAAAGCUGCAGAGAUGGAGCUGCAGAUCGAGAGUGCGGGCGCAAGAGAAGACUUUUGAAAACUUUUGCAAAAAGAAGCCGUUUCCAGUAGAGGUUAUAUGAUGUUCCGAUCCAUCUUUUCACACUGAGGACAACCGAGGGACUCGUACACGACUAUUCCAAAAGGUGCAAACAUUCACUGAUGCUCAAGAAGGUAACAGCAUGCAUUAAGAGCCUGGCUGUAAACGUUGUAAACAGGAUGAUCAUGUAAAUUUUUUUGUCUUCUGGGAUACUUCUAUGCUGUAUUAACCAUCUUUCUGUAAUAAACCCUUUUCACC